CCAAAAUGGCGCCCUGGAGCUGGGCUGAAAGUGCCACGUGACCCCACCCCCCUCUUUCCAAAGCACUCCACGUCUCCUCCAAUAAGGAGUGAUCUUGACCGGGCGGGAGAGCCGGAUUGUACCUUGACAUAGGGAGGAGGAGAUUGUCAUCCUGUCGGCUUUUAUGAAGAGGAGCUCAAGCGGAGUGUCGGUGCCUGCAAUAUAAGAAGCAUGUCUUCAGUCUGAUUGAGUUGUCUCUUAGCACUAUGCUGAACAUGGAGAACAGAAAUGAAAGCUGAGAAAUGUCUGAGAUGGAUACCAAAGGAAGCUUAGCGUCAGUACCUUGAGAGGACAAGUGUCUGCGCUUUUGGAGUUAACUGACAGGUGCUGGGCAGAAGAACCCCUGGUUAUUUGUAUGUUUAAUGCAUUGAAAAAAGUGUGUCCAGCGAGAUGACUGAGAAUAUCUCGAUGGGAUUUGCCUUUAAUCCUCAAGAUCUUAACGUCGGCUCCUUUCGAACCUCUUGAGAAUGCCUCGGACUGGCACGCCGCUUUAAAAGUUUUGUUCCUUGCGGCAAUUACUUCAGCUUGCAGAGUGGGGAAAAUUCAUUCCCUCUCUGCAAAAGAACCUGAGACUGUCAUCUUUUCUAACAAAGUUAUCUUGAGGUCAGCAUUUGAAUUUCUUCCAAAGGUGGUGUCACAAUUUCACCUGGAUUUAGAAAUAACCUUACCCUCAUUUUGUUAGAAUCCAAAGACUGAGCAGGAACGUCAAUGGCAUACCUUGGAUCUUGUUCAUGUGAUAUCACAUUAUCUGGCCCGUACAGAGUCAUGGAGGAAGAUGGAGAGAGUCUUUGUCAUACCUAGAGGCCCAACAAGGGGUCUGGCUCCUUAGUCGAUGGAUUAUUUGCUGCAUAGUGUUCGCCCUAUCACAAGGCAGGCAGAAAGGUGCCUAGAGACUUAAAGGCUCACUCUACCAGAGCAUUGGCUGCCCCUAGACGGCAGAAGCCAAAGCACCACCUGAUUCAAUUUGUAAGGCUGCAAGAUUCAUCAGACAUUAUAAGUUGAAUGUUUUACUUUCCCAAGAUGUUAGAUUUGGGAGGAAAGUGUUGCAGGCUGUGUUGCAUGCGUAAUAAUUACUAUAAGAAUCAACUGUGUCCCUCCCUUCUUACUAGCUUUGGUUGUUCUCAUGUUGGUGAUAGCUGCCAUGGGUGGCUUGGAAAAUAGAGACAUUUUUUAUUACUUACCGUAAUUUUAAUUUCCAGGUCACCUACCAUGGCAGCACUCACCAACUUCACUCCCUUCUAAGGCUAGGAAACAUAGACAAUGAGGGAGCGGUGUAAGGUGGAUGUUACAGUAUAGUGUGAUGGGGUUAACCCUUUCUUGUCCAGUGACCUGAGGGGUGGGGAAUACUCAUGUUGGUAAGUGCUGUCAUUGUAGGUGACAGUAAGUAAUAAAAAUAAUUCUCUAUUUUUAUGUAUAUAAAAGCUGGAAAGAGUCAAGAGA
Molecule: long non-coding RNA, 1479 nt
Organism: Xenopus laevis (African clawed frog)
Lineage: Eukaryota; Metazoa; Chordata; Amphibia; Anura; Pipidae
Exons: 4
Source: RefSeq, a predicted model, not a curated record